UUUCUUGGUAAUGUUUAAGAUAUACUAGAAUAUAUUUCUUAACUUUCUUGAUUAAGAAAAACAAGAUAUUUUUUGGGGGUUCAUGGCACCUAGAGGUAGUUGCAAGAUAUAACAUUUAGUUGAAUAGUAUGGUAACCUUUCUUUUGAAAUUUCUGUUGGUGACCAAGCUAUGUUUAGUUCAAAGUUAUGUUAAACUUUGAUUUCCUCAAAUCAAACCCAUUUGGUGUCUUUGUUAAGAAUUAGUCUUGGUAACAAGAAAACAUUUCUUGAUUUUCUAGCCUAUCUUGUCAUGUGACUUUUUCUGAACUCCUGAUUGGUUUAUUUGUAUCUCAGAGUACUGUUGGGCUACCCCAGGUGGUCCAUCUCUAUUUUGAACAGUUAUAAGAAAAUAUUUCUUAACAUUUCUUGUUUUUCUAGCGUCUCUGGUCAUGUGACUUUUUCUGAACCCCUGAUUGGUUGAUCUGUAUCCCAGAGUACAGUUGGGCUACCCCAUCUCCAUUUUGAACAGAGUGACAGUUGCAGCAGUUCAGUUCACUACUCUUUGUAUCAGUUGAUAACUCAUGCCAGUUUUACAGUCAAAAGUAAGGUAAAAGGGACCAUAAUCAUGUGAGGCACUGGGGACUGGGUUCAAUUUGCUAAAAAUCUAUGCAGCAGAAACAGCUGGGAACCAGAUAUGAAGGAUAAGGUGUCUGGAGGUUUUGACCAUACCAAAUGUCAAGAAUGAAAAGUUCACUGCAAGGGUUUGCUCUAUUUUGGAAUGUGAUACUCUGUAACCAUAUGGAAUAGUUAUAUCUAAGUUUAUAAAUUAUGGCCUUUAGUAGUAGUUAGCAUAUUCCGCUACAAAACAGCUACACUGCCAUUUAAGUAAUGCAGUAAUAUUGCUGUAAAUGCUUCUUUGAGAAGCGUAAUGAAUUUGAGACUCUUCUUCUUGUACGUAUAUCAAGAUAAAUAAUUGGCAAUCUGAAUGUAAAGGAAUUAUUGAUGUUUGUCUGGUACUGUCAUCGUAAAAGUAUUUCCAUUCAAAGACUGUUACUAUUGUGAUCAUACUUCAUAAGUCUUAUGCAAGAAUGUGGUAAUAAACAUUCCUAUACUAUUCACAUAAUUUGUUGAGAUUUCUUCCUCUAACAUUUUUGUAGUUGCUAUUAACUAUUUAGUGAUUUUCUGUUUUCAAGUAUUUGACAGCAGGAAUGAUUGUUCAAGAAAGUGAAUCUCAAUGCGAGAGACAUUUUCUUGGUGUGUCUUUAGGAAGGAAGAAAUUCUUGAACCAGAAGCUGAUUCUUGGUGCAAGUAAAAUAUUCCUGGUGCAAGAUUUCCGGACUUGUACAGAGAAUCACUGUCUAAGAGUAAGAGUAUCAGUCUUAAGAUUAGAAAGGAAUUCUUGAGCAAGAUCCUGAAUCUUAGCACAAGACGCAUAUUCUGUUAACUGGUAACUUAGUUCUUUAGGGCAGAAAGGUUUCCUUGCUUCCAAAUAACUUUCAAGAAACUGAUUCUAGGUUUGACCUGCUACCAGAAUCUUAAUCUUUGUACAAGAUAAUAUAUAUUUGGUUUAAGACAUCUAUUCUUAAGGACGGAAGGUUAUUCUUGUUGAAAGAAU
Long non-coding RNA from Branchiostoma floridae (Florida lancelet), 1594 nucleotides. RefSeq lists it as uncharacterized. The transcript is spliced from 2 exons. NCBI's taxonomy places the organism in Eukaryota, Metazoa, Chordata, Leptocardii, Amphioxiformes, Branchiostomatidae. The record is from RefSeq and is a predicted model, not a curated record.